This is a long non-coding RNA of Mytilus trossulus (common blue mussel), 249 nucleotides long. RefSeq lists it as uncharacterized. The transcript is spliced from 3 exons. The record is from RefSeq and is a predicted model, not a curated record. Lineage: Eukaryota; Metazoa; Mollusca; Bivalvia; Mytilida; Mytilidae.
AGUCAGUAUUACAAGGGUCUUCUGAGAAAACUAGAGCCGACUUUUUCCUUGAGGCUUUAACGUUAAGCAAAUUUUCUCACAAAAAUAUAGUUGAGUUUUUGGGAGUUUCACUAGAGAAAAAUUAUAUUUUGUUAGUUUUGGAAUAUAUGUCAGGAGGAGAUUUGAAGACAUACUUAAAACGGUUAAGAACAGAUGUGAGACAUAGCAGCACGUAACUGUUUAUUAACGUCGAGACAGACAGAUAUGAUU